CUCAUCUUUCUUUCCACCGUCACACGAGCUCCUUUCUCGUCUGCAGAGUUCACCGUUUCCGUGGAAUCCAUUAAUUUCGAAACUUUCUCAUUCUCUUAUUUCCGUGGAAUCAUCUCUUCUCUCCGGAGCCAUUUUCUUCUUCAUUCAAGUAUUUGGCGGGGAGAAAGCGUCAGAUUGAGGAUAUUUAUGGAUUUGGAUAUGUGAAUGUCAAACUUAGGUUCAAGUUAGCUCUGUUUGUAAGACAGAUUAGUUCCGCCCAAAGUGUGUUGUGUUUGAAGAGAAUGUAAUCAUAAUUGUUGGUGACAGACACCAAUUCCUGAACAACG
Molecule: small RNA, 326 nt
Filed under: Vigna angularis var. angularis
Lineage: Eukaryota; Viridiplantae; Streptophyta; Magnoliopsida; Fabales; Fabaceae
Description: Non-protein coding transcript
Source: RNAcentral